Molecule: vault RNA, 96 nt
Filed under: Moschus moschiferus (Siberian musk deer)
Lineage: Eukaryota; Metazoa; Chordata; Mammalia; Artiodactyla; Moschidae
Description: Vault RNA (ENSMMSG00000008388.1)
Rfam family: Vault RNA
About the family: This family of RNAs are found as part of the enigmatic vault ribonucleoprotein complex. The complex consists of a major vault protein (MVP), two minor vault proteins (VPARP and TEP1), and several small untranslated RNA molecules.
Source: Rfam by way of RNAcentral
GGGCUGGCUUCAGCUCAGCGGUUCCUUCGACUAAAUCACAGUUCAAGCACCCUUUCCGGGGUGGUUCAACACCCGCGGGCACUCCCCGGUCCUUUA